UACGGAGGGUGCAAGCGUUAUUCGGAAUCACUGGGCGUAAAGGGCGCGCAGGCGGUUUGGUUAGUCAGAUGUGAAAGCCCGGGGCUUAACCUCGGAAGUGCACUUGAUACUGCCAAACUUGAGUAUGGGAGAGGGAAGUGGAAUUCCUGGUGUAGAGGUGAAAUUCGUAGAUAUCAGGAGGAACACCGGUGGCGAAGGCGACUUCCUGGACCAAUACUGACGCUGAGGCGCGAAGGCGUGGGGAGCAAAC
Molecule: ribosomal RNA, 250 nt
Filed under: uncultured Desulfatibacillum sp.
Lineage: Bacteria; Pseudomonadati; Thermodesulfobacteriota; Desulfobacteria; Desulfobacterales; Desulfatibacillaceae
Description: partial 16S ribosomal RNA
Rfam family: Bacterial small subunit ribosomal RNA
Source: RNAcentral